ACACACACACAUACACACAGAAUAAGAGAGUAGAAAGAAGGAUGGCUUCAAACAAAAUUAAAUUUGUGAUCAUGUUCCUAGCCAUUAUCAGCAUCCUCACCCUUCCUAUGAUCAAUGCCAGAGAGCUCUCAACAGCAACACAAAGUGAUGAUCAAGUGAAAUAUGAUACUGUUGGAGUUACUGAUCAGGUUGCUGCUUUCUGAUGCUGUUUGUUACCGUUUUAGGGGCCGUAGGAUUUGCUUUUCACCCACGUCAUCUCCCACUCCAUAAACAUAGAAAUUCUAGUCUACAUUGUAUGCAUGGGUGUAUCGCAUUAAAAUUAUUAAGUAUGUGUGUUAACUGUGAGAUAAUAAAUAUAAGUGAUUCAGAUAAACUUUGUUUA
This is a long non-coding RNA of Dioscorea cayenensis subsp. rotundata (Guinea yam), 382 nucleotides long. RefSeq lists it as uncharacterized. The record is from RefSeq and is a predicted model, not a curated record. NCBI's taxonomy places the organism in Eukaryota, Viridiplantae, Streptophyta, Magnoliopsida, Dioscoreales, Dioscoreaceae. The transcript is spliced from 2 exons.